This 72-nucleotide transfer RNA is filed under the name Chloropicon sp. RCC4434. RNAcentral describes it as "tRNA-His". It matches the Rfam family "tRNA". From Rfam's summary of the family: Transfer RNA (tRNA) molecules are approximately 80 nucleotides in length. Their secondary structure includes four short double-helical elements and three loops (D, anti-codon, and T loops). Lineage: Eukaryota; Viridiplantae; Chlorophyta; Chloropicophyceae; Chloropicales; Chloropicaceae. The record is from RNAcentral.
GCGGGCGUAGCCAAGUGGUAAGGCAAUGGGUUGUGAUCCCAUCAUUCGCGGGUUCGAUUCCCGUCGUUCGCC